GUCCACGCCCUAAACGAUGUCAACUGGUUGUCGGGAAGCAAUUCCUUGGUAACGAAGCUAACGCGUGAAGUUGACCGCCUGGGGAGUACGGCCGCAAGGUUAAACUCAAAGGAAUUGACGGGGACCCGCACAAGCGGUGGAUUAUGUGGAUUAAUUCGAUGCAACGCGAAAACCUUACCUACCCUUGACAUGUACGGAAGCCUGCAGAAAUGCGGGUGUGCCCGAAAGGGAGCCGUAACACAGGUGCUGCAUGGCUGUCGU
This 261-nucleotide ribosomal RNA is filed under the name uncultured bacterium. RNAcentral describes it as "partial 16S ribosomal RNA". It matches the Rfam family "Bacterial small subunit ribosomal RNA", at positions 793 to 1055 of the family's 1533-position model. The record is from RNAcentral.